CAUGCCCCUUAUACGCUGGGCUACACACGUGCUACAAUGGGUAGAACAGAGAGUCGCAAAGCUGUGAAGUGGAGCUAAUCUCAGAAAACUAUUCUUAGUUCGGAUUGUACUCUGCAACUCGAGUACAUGAAGUUGGAAUCGCUAGUAAUCGCGAAUCAGCAAUGUCGCGGUGAAUACGUUCUCGGGUCUUGUACACACCGCCCGUCACACCACGAGAGUUGGUUGCACCUGAAGUAGCAGGCCUAACCGUAAGGAGGGAUGCUCCGAGGGUGUGAUUAGCGAUUGGGGUGAAGUCGUAACAAGGUAUCCGUACGGGAACGUGCGGAUGGAUCACCUCCUUUCUAAGGAGUAUAAGUCUUUCUCUAUUCUAUUGGUAAUGUUCUUUACAUUACUUCUGAACAUUGGAAACUAUAUAGUAGAACAAACAAGAAAAAAAAUUAACUCUAACAAUUUCUUAGAGUUAGCUGUCAAAAAAAAUAGGUUAAAAUAAUUAAGGGCACACAAAGGAUGCCUAGGUAGUAAGAGCCGAUGAAGGACGUGGUAAGCUGCGAUAAGCCUAG
Molecule: small RNA, 560 nt
Filed under: uncultured Fusobacterium sp.
Lineage: Bacteria; Fusobacteriati; Fusobacteriota; Fusobacteriia; Fusobacteriales; Fusobacteriaceae
Description: bacterial SSU rRNA
Rfam family: Bacterial small subunit ribosomal RNA (bases 1-341)
Source: RNAcentral